Cataglyphis hispanica is the source of this 2574-nucleotide long non-coding RNA. RefSeq lists it as uncharacterized. The transcript has 5 exons. The record is from RefSeq and is a predicted model, not a curated record. NCBI's taxonomy places the organism in Eukaryota, Metazoa, Arthropoda, Insecta, Hymenoptera, Formicidae.
GUCGGGUAGACGUGGUGUGAAGCCGUUCCGUGUUUUUCGCAUUUUUUUAUCCGGCAAAAGUACAUCGCGUGUGGAAAAAUGUGUCGGGAGUGCCGCGGAGGCUGCCGGGCGAUCGUUGUAGCAGAUUAAUCGUUAUGCGCGAACGAAAUUCGCUGCGUUUUUCCGACAUUCGUAUUCAAGCGAGUGAGAGCUCUCGAUUGAAGUUGUGCGGUACAGUCUGGACGAGAAGUUUCGCAGAGCGACAUCUGCAGUACCGUCCGAUACGAGGUUUGGAAAAAGAAGCAUUGCUAAUCCAGCAUUAGUUGAUUUGGAUUGUUGGUGGAAACAAGACGAGAUAUCAUGAUCUGGUUAACAAACUCGGAUUCGCACGUCCCUGAAGAGAGGCGGAUGAUGACAUUAAAUAUCCUAAUAUUUAUUUAGAACUCCGAAAACCCGUGUCGAGGAUACUUAAUUAAUCGGCCGGCGACGAGAGCGAUUUUAUGAAUGGCGUGACGAGUCAAUGAACGCGAUGGCAAAAAGGAUAUCAGACGACUGCUCAUUUGCCGUGAAUCUACCCUAAGUGAUUGCGUGGUGUAUAACUAUCGACUACAAGACACCUUUCAACUUCCAGGUCUCGAAAGAUUGCCGGUGGUUGAGGGAAGAAAGAGGUGGCACGAAGUUCGCGGUGAAAGGAUAAAUGGCUACAUCGUACUGAUGGAGACAAUCGAAUCGCCAGAAAUGAUUCCGGGGAAGAACACGAAGAAGAUAACCCCGCGGCGUGAGCCAUCUCGCAUUAUACCAUCAACGACGUAUUCACCCCUUUCUGCUCCAGAGAUAUCUACAGGGUGGCACUACCAACAUAACUGAGAAUCUCCUUCGCAACUCUGAUCGACAAAGUUCCUUCUGGCGGUGCCGCGAGCACACGGAUGCGAAAGUUAGCACGAAGUCUACCAGCAUCCCUUCUACCGCAUCUCGAGACAGUUCUCUCCUCUCCCUUUCACCCUCUGUUUCUCGCUCCUACACCUCACCAUGAACCACCAUUGCAUACCAUUGCACACUCACACACACAUACACAAUUUGUUUCCUUCCUUUUUGCAGGAGAAAGUUCUCUCUCGCACUCGCACUCGACUCUCGUCAUUUUACGGUGCCUUAAGAGACAAGGACACGAGCAAGUUUCACGAAGAUAGGCCAAGUUUGAUAAGAUACCGGUUUACCCUGCAUAGCCCGAUUGAUUAUCCUUCUCCGGGACCUCUAUUCAAUGGCGGUUACAUACGUUCGUAUUCUUUCACGUGGCUGAACAGUGAUUUUGUGGAAGCUACUUAGGGAGGCUUGAAAAAAGCAUCACGUAAAAUAGAUCAUCGUGAGUAAGAUGUAUGUGACUAUGAGAGAUUAAUGUGUAAAUAAAAUUCUUCUAAAAAAUCGAAAUCUUUCCCUGAAAUGGGAGAUUCCAAAUCGUUGAAAUUGAUAUAAUUUUUGUGAGAGCACUAUUAAAAAAUGCCAAAAUAGUCUCCGCAUGAAUUUAACAAUUUGAUAUUCUCGUCGCGAUGAUUGGAUUGUAUAGCAAAUACACAUUUUACAAAUAAAAAUUUAAUUCAUCGUAAUUAGAUAGGUUUCAAUCAUUGCAUUUUAUGUUUAAAGUUGAAUAGCACAUGCACUCUAUUAUGUUUUAUUUUUAAAUAAAGACUAAAAGAGAGAUAUUCUUGUAAGAUGACAUAAAGUUUAAGAGUUGCUUUGAUCCAGAUUGAAAAAAUUAUCUCGUGUAUAAAUAAAUACGGCUCGAUCAUAUUUUCAGCGAGAUAAAUUUUAUUUCAAAAUCGCGACAUUUCUCGCGCAAAUAACGCCUGAUUUAAAUUCAGGCGAGAUUGAAGCGAGAAGCACAAUUCGCACUGAUAGCAACGAUUAGUGACAGAUAAUCUCUUUCGUGUGAGGUCUUAUUAGAAUCAAUUUCCCCGCACGCGCGAUAUUUCUACGGCAUGCAUUGCGGUAUACCAUCGCAUUAAUCAUACACCUGUGUGCGAUUCCCGCAUCGAUAAUUUUCCGAAGCUCUCUCCUGGUAUUUAAACCAUCAUCUACCGUCGCGUCGAUACGAUCUAUUUUGAAAAAUAACUUUUUCCCAUUUUGCGUUUUAUCGAUGGUGUUUUAUCAAACAAUAAAAUUACAUUAUUAUGAAAUAAUUUUAGCGCUAGAUAAUCUUCGAAAGAACAUUACCGCUAUUAGAUAUCGCAAUAUAUGUAAGAUAAAAACAUUUUCGUUACAUAUAUAUUGAAUAUUAAACAGGAAUUAUUCUCAAAUACUAAGAAUAAUAUGACUUUAUAUUUAUGCAUUCGUAGAUAAAAAUUAAUUGAUCGCUUUCGCUGUUAACUACAUUUUGCGCAUACACACGCACACACACACACACACACACUCACACACACAUAAAUACACGCGCGCACUCGUAGUCAUUUUUAUUAUUACACCUAUACCAUAAAUAUAUAACAGGCAUUUUUUUUAUACAUAUAUUGGGUAUCGGAUACGCAAUCGUUUUCGCUAUUACAUUACAUUUUGUACGCACACACACACAUACAGUCAUUUUUAUUAUUAUACUAUAUAAUGUAC